Molecule: long non-coding RNA, 2502 nt
Organism: Ictalurus punctatus (channel catfish)
Lineage: Eukaryota; Metazoa; Chordata; Actinopteri; Siluriformes; Ictaluridae
Exons: 5
Source: RefSeq, a predicted model, not a curated record
UGUCCGGUGAUGCGAGAAAGAUGAAAGUUUCACUUUAUGCAAAUUUUGUGUGAUUUAGUGCAGAGACUACCAAUGGUUGUGAGGACAGUAGAGUGAUCCGUGAUCCGCCAUUCUGUCUGUGCGUCCAAAUUUUUUUGUGGACCCAGACAGCUUGUGUUUUCGCCACAGAUAGAUGGCUGCAAUGUCAAAGAACACACACUGCUUCUCCUUCAUAUUGUAGUAUAUGCAUAUAUACUGUACACUUGUGAAUUUUAUAUACAAACGUUCUCCCUCCAGAAUGUUUCAUUUCAGUGGCAAGAAUACUGAUUUGUUGCCGAAAGUGGAAUGCUAAUUGCACCACCCACUGAUAAAUGUUACUAUGGCAACCAGUAGUAGGCACGCCUAUUGGCGACUUCAUAGUACAGCGACUGGCAACUUUCAGUGAUACAAUCGCUAUAUUUGUGAAUUAAUUUCUGAAUUUAUAUUGCUUGUUGUAGCUUAUUUCUGAUUCUGACCUUGUGUUACUUUUGCGCUCUGUUUUUUCCUCUGGUUUUGAGCUUUUCCUGAUAUAUUUUGAAACCCAUUUUGGACUCUUGGAUUGUGUUGUAGCUUGUUUACCUGAUUUUUAAAAUAAAACAAGAGCCUGCACCUGCAUCCAUCUGUGCAUCUAUCUGUGCAUCCAUCUGUGCACAAAAAUGUUUGUGUUUAAAAUGUCUCCAUGUUGAUAAAUGCGUUCCAUUGAAUUAUUUUGAACCAAAACACAACAUCGAGUUUCUGCUUCGUGACGGAUCAACUUCAUCUCCCUCAACUCUACAACAAGUGACUUGGAAGAAAGCGAUGGAUUUCCGAAGAUUUCUGCCGGAUCUGAAGAACUGGGUGAGAUCGCCUGUGCUGCGGGGCUGCUCGUUCUCUCUGCCGGUGCGGGUUACCGUGUUUACCGCCGCAUGCGGAGAGGAAGCGCUCCUCCUGACCACACUCCGUCUCCUCACGAGCCUGAGGAUGUGCUGGAAGAAUCAUUAGACACUCCCUCUGUCCUUCAGGUCAUUGAGCCAAACCUGCAGCUACUGCCCACCGAACAUCACCAAGACCCUUCAGCUGUUGUUCUGCCUCUCAGUGCCGGUGAGACAAGCAGCGCCUGAAGCGAUGUUCAGUUCCUCUCUGCAGACUCCUUCAGCUUCCAGUCUGAGGGUCACGGGGAACCUGGAGCCUAUCCCAAGAAGCAUGGGGCACAAGGUGGGGUACACCCUGGACAGGGUGCCAAUCCAUCGCAGGGCACACAAUCACAUACACAUUCACACACCCAUUCAUACACUACGGACACUUUGGGAAUGCCAAUCAGCCUACCGUGCAUGUCUUUGGACUGGGGGAGGAAACCGAAGUACCCGGAGGAAACCCCCGCAGCACGGGGAGAACAUGCAAACUCCUCACACACAGGUCCACAUCACUAGUAUUCAGUUCAUUUUCAGUGGGAAGUAAUUAGUAAGGAAGAAGUUCAAUCUAUAUUUACUGAAAAUCAUUCUGGGUUAAUUUUCCGUUCCAAAGAGGUUCAUACUGAACAUUGUAAGGCACUAAAUGAAAAUCCUGAACUGCGGUCAAUAUAUGGUGUCAAAAAAUCAUGUGUGCUCAAUUCAUUACAGCAUUUCCAUUGUACUGAUAACUAUGUUGUUGACAUCAUGCAUGAUCUGCUAGAGGGUGUGGUACAGUAUGAACUUAAGUGUGAUUUGUUUCUGUGGAUUUUGCUGUGUAUAAUUUACAUAUACAGGCCAAUAACAGUAAUUCAAGAUACUUUAAGGCAAACUAGGCACAGCUGUGAACCUUCCUAGAUGUGGCCAAACUUCCAAAAUUCCUUCAGGAGCACAGCAACUACUCAUACAGCAAGUCACAAAAGCCAAACGGACAACAGCAAAGGAACUACAGGCCUCUCUUGCAUCAAUAAAGGUCACUGUUCAUGACUCCACUAUCAGAAAGACACUGGGGGGAAAUGGCAUCCAUGGAAGAGUGGUGAGGUGAAAACCACUGCUAACCCAGAAGAACAUUAAGGCUCAUCUGAAUUUUGCCAAAACACACCUUGAUGCUCUUCAAUCCUUUUUGGGAGAAUGUUCUGUGGACUGAUGAGUCAAAAGUGGAACUGUUUAGAAGACACAGGUCCCAAAGACAGAAUUCCACAAAAAGAACAUCAUACCUACAGUCAAGCAUGGUGGUGGAAGUGUGAUGGUGUGGGGAUGCUUUGCUGCUUCAGGGCCUGGACAACUUGCAGUAAUUGAGGGAAACAUGAAUUCUGCUCUCUACCAGAAAAUCCUAAAGGAGAAUGUCUGCUCUUUACUCCGCAAGUUGAAACUCAAGUGCAACUGGAUUCUUCAGCAAGACAAUGAUCCAAAGCAUAGGAGUAAGUGCUGUAUUUCUGGUUCUGACCUUGUUUUAUUUGUUACUCUCUGAACUUGCCUGUUUCCUGAAUUUCUUUGACUUGUUUUGACUCUGAUUCUUGGAUUGUUCACCAGCUUUUUAGUAAAACAUCAACUUGCA